UUCUAUUACUAUAAUUAAUAGUAAGAUCUGCUCAAUGAUAAUUAAAUAGCCGCCUUGGUUGUGCUAAGGUAGCAUAAUCAUUUGUCUUUUAAAUGAAGACUAGAACAAAGGAUUUAACAUUUUAAUAAAUAUUACUUUUAAAAUUCUUCUAAAUUAUCUUAAAAGUAAAAAGGCAUUUAUAAAAAAGAAAGACGACAAGACCCUAUUGAACUUAACUUAAGUUAUACUGGGGUAGUUAAAAAAUAAAUAUUUUAAUUUAUUAAAUUAAAUAAAAGAUCUAGUAAUAUUAAAAUAAUCAAGUUACCAUAGGGAUAACAGCGUAAUAUUUUUCUAAAGAUCUUAUAACAAUAUAAGUUUACGACCUCGAUGUUGAAUUAAUAACCUAAUUAAAGCAAAAUUUAACCAAGGAAGUCUGUUCGACUUUUAAAAAUUU
RNAcentral lists this ribosomal RNA (433 nucleotides) under Selenops bursarius. RNAcentral describes it as "partial 16S ribosomal RNA". The record is from RNAcentral. Lineage: Eukaryota; Metazoa; Arthropoda; Arachnida; Araneae; Selenopidae.